RNAcentral lists this transfer RNA (72 nucleotides) under Camelus bactrianus (Bactrian camel). It matches the Rfam family "tRNA". From Rfam's summary of the family: Transfer RNA (tRNA) molecules are approximately 80 nucleotides in length. Their secondary structure includes four short double-helical elements and three loops (D, anti-codon, and T loops). Further hydrogen bonds mediate the characteristic L-shaped molecular structure. tRNAs have two regions of fundamental functional importance: the anti-codon, which is responsible for specific mRNA codon recognition, and the 3' end, to which the tRNAs corresponding amino acid is attached (by aminoacyl-tRNA synthetases). tRNAs cope with the degeneracy of the genetic code in two manners: having more than one tRNA (with a specific anti-codon) for a particular amino acid; and 'wobble' base-pairing, i.e. permitting non-standard base-pairing at the 3rd anti-codon position. The record is from Rfam by way of RNAcentral. RNAcentral also lists the same sequence under 1 other name. Lineage: Eukaryota; Metazoa; Chordata; Mammalia; Artiodactyla; Camelidae.
GUGGGUAUAGCUCAGUGGUAGAGCACAUGCUUGGAAUGCAUGAGGUCCUGGGUUCAAUCCCCAGUGUCUCCG